Molecule: ribosomal RNA, 429 nt
Filed under: uncultured bacterium
Lineage: Bacteria
Description: bacterial SSU rRNA
Rfam family: Bacterial small subunit ribosomal RNA
Source: RNAcentral
UCGAGGAUCUUUCGCAAUGGGCGCAAGCCUGACGAAGCGACGCUGCGUGAGCGAUGAAGGCCUUCGGGUCGUAAAGCUCUUUCGCGCAAGAACAAGGAAAUGAUGUGAAUAACAUCGUAACUUGAGUGUACUGCGUAAAGAAGCACCGGCUAACUCCGUGCCAGCAGCUGCGGUAAUACGGAGAGUGCAAGCAUUAAUCGGAAUUAUUGGGCGUAAAGGGCGCGUAGGCGGAUAGCUAAGUCAGAUGUGAAAUUCCGAAGCUCAACUUCGGAGCUGCAUUUGAAACUGACUGACUUGAGGAUUGACGGAGAAAACGGAAUUCCACGUGUAGCGGUGAAAUGCGUAGAUAUGUGGAAGAACACCUGUGGCGAAAGCGGUUUUCUAGUUAACACCUGACGCUGAGGCGCGAGAGCAAGGGGAGCAAACAGG